GCUCGGUUGAUCUAGUUGGUUAUGAUGCGGACCUAAUAAGUCCGAUGUCGGCGGUUCGAUCCCGCCACUGAGCA
Molecule: transfer RNA, 74 nt
Filed under: Rhodotorula toruloides
Lineage: Eukaryota; Fungi; Basidiomycota; Microbotryomycetes; Sporidiobolales; Sporidiobolaceae
Also listed under: 2 other names
Description: tRNA-Ile
Rfam family: tRNA
About the family: Transfer RNA (tRNA) molecules are approximately 80 nucleotides in length. Their secondary structure includes four short double-helical elements and three loops (D, anti-codon, and T loops). Further hydrogen bonds mediate the characteristic L-shaped molecular structure. tRNAs have two regions of fundamental functional importance: the anti-codon, which is responsible for specific mRNA codon recognition, and the 3' end, to which the tRNAs corresponding amino acid is attached (by aminoacyl-tRNA synthetases). tRNAs cope with the degeneracy of the genetic code in two manners: having more than one tRNA (with a specific anti-codon) for a particular amino acid; and 'wobble' base-pairing, i.e. permitting non-standard base-pairing at the 3rd anti-codon position.
Source: RNAcentral